AGAGUUUGAUUCUGGCUCAGGACGAACGCUGGCGGCGUGCUUAACACAUGCAAGUCGAACGGUGAAGGUGGUGCUUGCACCACCGGAUCAGUGGCGAACGGGUGAGUAACACGUGAGUAACCUGCCCUUGACUCUGGGAUAACCCCGGGAAACCGGAGCUAAUACCGGAUACGACCCGCACAGGCAUCUGCGUGGGUGGAAAGAUUUAUCGGUCAAGGAUGGACUCGCGGCCUAUCAGCUUGUUGGUGGGGUAACGGCCCACCAAGGCGACGACGGGUAGCCGGCCUGAGAGGGCGACCGGCCACACUGGGACUGAGACACGGCCCAGACUCCUACGGGAGGCAGCAGUGGGGAAUAUUGCUCAAUGGGCGCAAGCCUGAAGCAGCGACGCCGCGUGAGGGAUGAAGGCCUUCGGGUUGUAAACCUCUUUCAGCAGGGAAGAAGCGAAAGUGACGGUACCUGCAGAAGAAGCACCGGCUAACUACGUGCCAGCAGCCGCGGUAAUACGUAGGGUGCAAGCGUUGUCCGGAUUUAUUGGGCGUAAAGAGCUCGUAGGCGGUCUGUCGCGUCUGCUGUGAAAACUCGGGGCUUAACCCCGGGCCUGCAGUGGGUACGGGCAGACUAGAGUGCGGUAGGGGAGACUGGAAUUCCUGGUGUAGCGGUGAAAUGCGCAGAUAUCAGGAGGAACACCGGUGACGAAGGCGGGUCUCUGGGCCGUAACUGACGCUGAGGAGCGAAAGCAUGGGUAGCGAACAGGAUUAGAUACCCUGGUAGUCCAUGCCGUAAACGUUGGGCGCUAGGUGUGGGGCUCAUUCCACGAGUUCCGUGCCGCAGCAACGCAUUAAGCGCCCCGCCUGGGGAGUACGGCCGCAAGGCUAAACUCAAUGAAUUGACGGGG
RNAcentral lists this ribosomal RNA (898 nucleotides) under uncultured Actinomycetes bacterium. RNAcentral's name for it is "bacterial SSU rRNA". It matches the Rfam family "Bacterial small subunit ribosomal RNA", at positions 8 to 918 of the family's 1533-position model. Lineage: Bacteria; Bacillati; Actinomycetota; Actinomycetes. The record is from RNAcentral.